RNAcentral lists this long non-coding RNA (2205 nucleotides) under Capsicum annuum. RNAcentral describes it as "long non-coding RNA (CANN_LNC011975)". The record is from RNAcentral. Lineage: Eukaryota; Viridiplantae; Streptophyta; Magnoliopsida; Solanales; Solanaceae.
AAAAAUUGAGACAAAACUUAUUGAAAUUGAGGAUUGAUUGCUAAAGCAGAGUGUUGUCAUGAUUGACCUCGAGCAAGAAGUCCACACUUUCGGCCACUUUGUUAAAACUAUUAAAAGAAAGGCCUCCAAUGCACCGGAAAGAUAAAAAUCAAUGUGAAGAAGCGUGAAAUUAAAUCAAAUAUAAAUAAGGUUUUGUAUAUGUACGGUAUUAAUCCAGACUAUUCAAACCAGAGGUUCUACAUAUUGUCAACGCCAUAGAAAGAUUCUAAUCUUCCAUUACUUUACUCUAAUAGGAGGAAUAUUAAGGAAUAAUUACUUUUAUUUUGUAAGUAUAUAUAGAAAUAGAGUAAUCUUUUGAAAAUAUUAAGUAUAGUUUCUAUGUCGGUCAUCUUGUAUUAAGGUUCAAUGUUAGUUAUUCCCCCUAUUUUGUAAUGAGAAUCUACAAUUUAUUAGUGUAAAGACCCUUAGAAAUGUUGUUUGAACGUUUUACCCUUCAUUAAAAAAUUUUGUUGUAGAAAAAAUCGUCUUUUUACUAUGUUUUUUUAAUAUUUAAAAGUUAAAAAUUAAUUAAUAUAGUUAUGGUAAAACUUUUUCUUAUUAGAACUCAUCAGAAUUAAUAACAACUAAUACUUUAUUCAUUAGUUUAAGAAUUCUAAAUCAACUAAAUUUGAUUUUAAGAAGAUUUAAAAAAUCUAGAAAUAAAAAAUGUUAGAAUAAGUAAAAUUUAAGAAGUACCAAAUUUUAAAAGUUUUAAAUACAUAUUUUUAUAAAAAUUUGACUUUAAAAAUAAAGAAAGAGUGAAAUGGUUCAACAAAGAUAUACAUGCUUCUGGUGGUACAUAUAUUUCGCCAAAGAUAUUUUAACAUUAUCAAACUUUAAGUUAUAAUUAUUCAUGAUGAUUAUUAGAUAAAUCAAGAUGGGUAAUUUCUUUACAGUCUUUCGACUUUCAUAUAGUAUACAAUGUGUAGUAACAAUUAUUGUUCUUUCUAUAAUUAGUUCAAACCUCAGGAGAAAACUGUCAUAGUUUUUGUAUGAAUUUUGAUACACAAACUCCUUUGGCACCCUUUUGAUCGGCAAAUUAUUUCUAGACUAGUCAGCAGUUUUGGUACGGUUGUGGCUCCCGACCAAGCUAUAUACUCUAAAUCUAGAGGUAAUGUUGCUAAAGUAAAAGCGGAGAUUGGUCUUCUGAAGCCAAUAUAAGAUUAGACUUGGAUGGGUUUUAAAAGAAUGGAUAGCAUCGAUGAUGGAAAAUGGCUCAACAUUUAAUAUGAAAAAGUGUGGAGCUAUUGUUUGUAUUGCAAAAUGCAGGGUCACCUUGAAUCCAAAUAUAGAAAAAAGGUUAAAGAUGAGAGGAUCAAAACACAAAGAGAUAAACUAAAUAAGCAGGGCAAAGAGCAACUCAAAGAUAUGGAAAAUUGUGAUGCCUUCCAAAUGUUUCUAAGAGAAAAGGUUUCAAAGCUAGAUUGAAUCAGUUUGGCGAGCAAUGAAACAAAAACAACCUUCAUCAAACACAACAUACUGAAAAAGGAUAAUCAGACCAAAGGCAUCACUAAAUUUGGCACAGGAUGAUCGGAGAACAAAAGGCAUUUCCAUAAAUAAACCUCCAGAUAAUCAAAAAGCACCCGACAUUUUUGAGGUACCUGAUAAAGUAAAAGGAAAGAUCGCGGAUCCUAUUGAGGUUGAUUGAACCAAAGUCACCACCAAGAAAAAAAGGAUCAGGUCUAAGAAUAAAAAUAUGACGGGGGAUUUUAAUCAAAAUAGUAGUAUGGAUUAUCAACAAAACAACAUCAAGGAGAAAGGGCAACCAAGUGGCAGCAAGAAAAUGUCACUAUUAAAAGUAAUAUCAACACUAAAUAUGACAAUUCUAAUUAGACGGACAUGACACAAAUUAGUGAACAGUCUGACAACGAUAUGAGAAAAAAGACAGAUAAAACCUGUCAACCUUCAAAUAUGAGCAAGAUUACGAAAGAAGAAGUGAAUAGUAAGAAUGACAAAGCGGCAACUUACCAUAUUAAUUUGGGUGAUGUUCACAACAAUUACCUAAAAUUGAUCAGUGGUGCCAACCUUGAAGAAGAACAAGACAAUGAAGAGAUUUACACUAAUAAGUUUAUCCACCAAGAAAUAUCUUCAUAUGAUGAUGAUCGUAGCACUGACGAUGAUGACUAUGAAAAUGAGAUGACUACGGAGGAAGCUGAUGACUUUGUC